RNAcentral lists this long non-coding RNA (898 nucleotides) under Coccomyxa subellipsoidea. RNAcentral describes it as "long non-coding RNA (CSUB_LNC000611)". The record is from RNAcentral. Lineage: Eukaryota; Viridiplantae; Chlorophyta; Trebouxiophyceae; Coccomyxaceae.
CCUUCCAGUUCUAUACCUGUGAUGAUGAGUGCGAUUGCUGGACCCCGUGUUCCAGAGAGGUGACCGCCCAAACAUCCUUGUUACUUUAGGUCACCCGACCGCUCUGAACAGACAAAAUAUAAGAUCUCUAGACUCUAUGAUGCUUGGCAAGGUCACCAGCUUCGUAAGUUCAAUUCCACAUCUCGGAUUGAGCUAUAUGUAAUUGGUCACUAUAUCGUUGUGAUGGCUCUGCAAUUCUAGUCUGGACCUGGCGGCUGUGGCAGUUGCGAUCUCUGUGGCUGCUCAGAGUGGCGGCUUCCUACCGAUAUCGAUUAUCACUUUGUUUCGAUUGUUGAAGCAUUGUCGCUACUUCGAAUUCGGCGUGUUUCCUCGUAUUACAUUAGGGGGAUUUUGCUAUAUCCUGUAUUCGUGUGAUGACAUUUGUUCAGGCAGCUAGCUCACGGUGCAGGCGCUGUACUGCAUGUAGCCUUUCAAUUACAACAGUACUUGUAAUUACAAGCAAGCAAGCUGAAUAUUGCUCAGAAAUUAACAAGAUCUCAAAUUUCGAAUGUUCACGAUCACGAGUCUGUUUGGUUGACACUGUAUAUUCCCUUGAAGUUUUGCAGACAAGUGCACACUACACCGUGAUUAGAGUCUGCAAUUGCUUCUGGAGCUUGAGCACUGUAGCCUUCAGACUUGCCAGUUGCUGUGCACGGCGCUUAGUCCUGGGAUUAUGAUCUGGCGAGCAACUCAUGCUCAUCCGCACCUGACAGAACAAAAACAGGAUAUCAUUGUGAGUCGAACAGCAGCAGAGAAUCUAAUCAAAUAUGGCGUCGACCAUUCAAGUGCACACAGCAUGGGCACAAGGCUUUUUGAGCAGAGAUGCAGCUCUCUUCCUACCUGACAGCGGCUGGCCUUC